This 18-nucleotide unclassified non-coding RNA is filed under the name Mus musculus (house mouse). Its description in RNAcentral is "oocyte_clustered_small_RNA7244". Lineage: Eukaryota; Metazoa; Chordata; Mammalia; Rodentia; Muridae. The record is from RNAcentral.
CCUGGGGCCAGGAGAGGC